Hipposideros armiger (great roundleaf bat) is the source of this 2140-nucleotide long non-coding RNA. RefSeq lists it as uncharacterized. Lineage: Eukaryota; Metazoa; Chordata; Mammalia; Chiroptera; Hipposideridae. The transcript has 3 exons. The record is from RefSeq and is a predicted model, not a curated record.
CUGGAAGUGCUAACGAGACCCGCUGGAAGGAUUUGCGUCUCCUGGUAGUCAUAGAGGAACUUGGGAGCGCUGGGUACAGGAAGUGGAUCUCGGCCUGGUUCGCUUGCUGAAGUAGAGCUCUAUUUCGAGGGACGCAAUCUGCAGGAAACAAAAAUGCAAGUCGAGGUUUGGGAAGAGUUGUCACUUUCCCGACUUGAGUGGUGCGGGCUGGGGGCGGAGAUUCGGGACUGUUGAGAGGCCAUUUCUCCUACCUCAGCUCCUUGCCCUGGACUUCCAGAAGGAAGAAUUACCCGUCUCACCCUGCUUCCUCCCGACACCAUCCCCGCUGGCCUGCCGGCCCCUUUCCGCACCUCCUUUUCCCUUCAAGUGUGAAAAGCCUUGUUCCCGAGCUAGUGGAGUCGACCCCCUCGCCCCUCCCGCUCCCACGUCUUCCCCCCUCCAGCCAUCGCUACUGCCACCAACUCAGUUCCACUCAAUCGAUUUUUGCUGCAUGUCAACACUUAUUACCGCUGUCCCCUCCCCUCUUCCCCACUCAAGAAAAGAGAUAAAGUGGAUGCAAGCCAGAGAAAGAUGUGAUGUUACAUAAGGAAUUUCCAGCCAACGUGCAGAACAAUUCUUGUACCUCUAAGAAGAUUGGUUUAUUUCUAUGCAAAAUAGCUGCUUUACUCAAAAUGCAGUGUCUAGCCCAUUAUAACCUCUUAGUAAAUACUCUUUUGAACACGUAACGCCUCCACCUGAUACCCCUUGGAUCCUACCUAUGACCUGUUCACUGAAGCAGCAUCAUUUUUACUGAGAGCAUUCACCCACAUCUUUGGACUUGGGGGUGUGAAUAAGUGGCUGUGAUGUGUGGUAUGAAAUCUGCGUAAUUCAAUUAACUCUAACGAUCAUGUCUUAACUUCUUCAAAACCCCACUGCUUCUCCUUCACAGCCUGUAUAGGGAUCAUGAGAAUUUCUGGCAGAGGUUGGAGGUUGGCCUCAGAUACAUGCUGGGAGCCAGGUUUUUCAGAGACUCAGCAGGCAUCAAGCAUGUGAGCAAUACAGCCCAAGUUGGUCAUCACCAAACUUUGUUACCCCACUUCCCUGAGAAAAACAGAAUUGACUCAAAUGUUCUACCAGUUACCUCUUGAGAGAAAUCAACACAUCAAAGCAGAUAAAUAAAAAGGUAUGAAAUCACACUCAGUUGCCCUGCAAUGACUUAGAGACACAGAGAAACAUAGGUGGGGAAAGGACAUUUACUUUUAAAGGUGUGGGUGGUUUGGCACAGGGGUAUUAUAAAGGAUAUUGCAGCGCUCACUCAAACUGUCUUCUCCCCACCAAAUUACCAUGUUAUCUGAUACCCUCAAUCUGUUUGUGUCCUGGGUAACAGACAGUUUGACCAAGAGGUCAUCGACCAGAGGGCUUGGGUGACUACAAACAAGUUUGACAAGAAAGGAAUCUGGGUGGGGUGCCACCGUGGAGGUGGAGAGAGGAUGAGACCACGGUGACGGGACCAUCCCGGCAACCCCAAAUCUGUGCUGAACCAUUCACAAGCAAAGCCUUUUCAGAGAACAGGAGGAAGAGCUGUCAACAUAGCUUCAUGGAUGGGAGAAAUUACAUCUCUCCACAUGCUUUUCCCUUCCCAUUAUUUCUUACUUUCUUCAUUUCCUCCUCCCCCCCCCCUUCUGCCACCUCAGUAGGCUCUCCCGAGAAUUCUGCCUGCCCCUGGAUUAUCUCCUGCUUGUUUCCUCUUUGGAAUUAAGGCUUCAAGAUUAUUUUUAGUGUUUACUCUUCGAGAUAUGAAACGUUGUUUUAUCCAAGCAAGGGUCUACCUGUAAACUAUUUGUAUUCAUAACUAUGGAGUGCUUGUAUGAUUAAUAAAGGUGUUAGGCCCAAUAUGUAAAGCAUGCAAUAUUGGAACCUUUUUUUUCAUCUCAGGAGAGGGACUGCACGUUCUUUAAUAAAGUCCCACUGCACACUGGACAUCCUGGAAGUGGACAGCAUUACCCGUGGCAUCAAGACCACCAAAGUGGUAAAUCUCAGUUUAAUUUACUACUCUCAACUUGGAAGUUCCUCCCCCACAUGAAACUAUGACCUUGGAUGGGUCAAUAUUUUGUGUUCCAAGAGAAAAUAGAUACAGUGCUAUGUAGAGAUUAUGUGAUAA